Podarcis lilfordi (Lilford's wall lizard) is the source of this 81-nucleotide non-coding RNA. NCBI's taxonomy places the organism in Eukaryota, Metazoa, Chordata, Lepidosauria, Squamata, Lacertidae. The record is from the annotation of a GenBank genome assembly.
GCCUUACUAGGAUAUCAUUUCAGUUGGUAGAGCAUGAGAUGCUUAAUCUCAGGGUUGUGAGUUCGAGUUCCACGCUGGGCA